UACGGAGGGUGCGAGCGUUAUCCGGAUUCACUGGGUUUAAAGGGUGCGUAGGUGGGUUGGUAAGUCAGUGGUGAAGUCUCCGGGCUUAACCUGGAAACUGCCAUUGAUACUAUCAAUCUUGAAUACCUUGGAGGUGAGCGGAAUAUGUCAUGUAGCGGUGAAAUGCUUAGAUAUGACAUAGAACACCAAUUGCGAAGGCAGCUCACUACACGGUCAUUGACACUGAGGCACGAAAGCGUGGGGAUCAAACAGG
This 253-nucleotide ribosomal RNA is filed under the name uncultured bacterium. RNAcentral's name for it is "partial 16S ribosomal RNA". It matches the Rfam family "Bacterial small subunit ribosomal RNA", at positions 524 to 776 of the family's 1533-position model. The record is from RNAcentral.